CACUGGGCCUAACGAGCAAAAUUCAAGGAAUGUGUGCACGUUUGAAAUUUUAGUCGGGUUUGUUUAUUGCAGGCCUUUGUAUCAUUGCUGCCAUUUUUGAAAUAAUGGUAGUGUUGGUGAUCCAGUUAGGGGAAAACAAUGAAGCAUGUUAUAGAAAUGAUGCAGGGAGGGAUGGUGGGAAAAUGGUAAAUUAUUUUUGCUCAUUAAUGGAAAACGUUGUCGUUUUCAAAACCCAACCAGUUCCCUAAUGUUUUGGUGACAACCCACCCGUGGAGUUUCGGAGGCUGGCCUCACCCCUCAUCGUCUCUCUUCUCUGUGUGUGCCUUUGCUGACACUGUCUCCCUGAGGCUGCGUCACCUCAAUCACGGUAGUUUUCGGUGUCGCAUGCAACCCGUGUCGGCGUCGACAGAUUGCUUAGUUCUUACCCGGGGACACACCGUUUUUUAGUGAAGGUCGUCGCUCACCGUUGCCGCGUGAAGCUCGCCGCGGUAGGGCGUGACGGUCUGAAGGUCAUUUGCUGCCUUCCUGCUAUCGCUUUCCCGGCAGCUGCAGUAGACAAAACCAGCAACGGGUCCGUGGGGUGGUGGUCGUUGUUGUCAUUUUGCUUCUCCCAUCAAUUUAGUAUCUCAUCUACCUUUGCCGUCAGUAGCUUUCUGGGCAAUUGGCAUUUGGAGGCUGUGAGGUUGUGGCAAGUGGCUUGGAUUGCGUACAAUUUGGGAAACGAAGGGUGUCUGAGCCAAAAAUUUGGAAUAUAUUUUCAUUGAUCACGGGAUAUGGUGGUAGAAGACAGCAAAGAUAAUAAUGGCAUCAACCAGCAAGUUUGGCGAGGAGCCGCAUAUGUGGAAUGAACUAGUUGGGGAUUACUGGAUGGAUGGAGACAAUGUUUGAUACGGGAGUGGAGGCAGACCCUGACUUAUCCGACUGGGAAUGCAGUGGGGUGAUAAACCGCUAUUUUAUGGUUUAUCUUAUGCUCAAUUGAGUGGAUUUUAUCAACUCUUUACCCACUUAUUCAUACUAUUUGCAUGGUUUUACAUUUGCCUUCCUAAUUAUGUGCUUUGAUUGAAAACAUGCUUCUUUGACCUUAAGUUCCCUAUGUUUAAUCCUCUCUUAUUACCAUUAGAUGCCUUGAUAUGUGUGUUAAUUGAUUUCAGAGAUUACAGGACAGGAAUGGCUCAGAGGAUGGAAAGGAAGCAUGCAAAAGUGGAAGGAAUACAAGAAGUUGGAGAAAUUGCUAAGUUGUCCAGCCUGACCUCUUCGCACUCAAACGGCUAUAACUUUAGCUACAGAAGUCCAAAUGACGCGGUUCUAGUUGCGUUGGAAAACUAACGUCCGGGGCUUCGAUUUGAUAUAUAAUAUGCC
This is a non-coding RNA of Arachis ipaensis, 1359 nucleotides long. NCBI's taxonomy places the organism in Eukaryota, Viridiplantae, Streptophyta, Magnoliopsida, Fabales, Fabaceae. The record is from RefSeq and is a predicted model, not a curated record.